GGAAAUAAACACCGACUUAGUUUUGCUUUGUGGCCUUUGUUACUUGAGUAAGUAUGCUCGAGAGAAUGUUUUUACACUUAGCGCUCUAAAGUCUGACGGUUUGGGUGUCGUUGGUUGAAAGCUCAUUAAGGGAUAACAUUGAAAAGCCUAAGGGGGUGGACAUUGCAAGAGUCAGGUAUAUUAAAUAAUUGGUGGGAUGGAGCAUCAAAAUGCACCCGCUGUGAAUAAAGUGAUUUCUCUUGUGUUUAUGUGAAUGCCAAGUUUGGUCAAUAAGUGGUGGAAAGGGUGAUUGCAUGAGUUUGAUCC
RNAcentral lists this long non-coding RNA (306 nucleotides) under Panax ginseng (ginseng). RNAcentral describes it as "long non-coding RNA (PGIN_LNC009271)". The record is from RNAcentral. Lineage: Eukaryota; Viridiplantae; Streptophyta; Magnoliopsida; Apiales; Araliaceae.